Molecule: ribosomal RNA, 501 nt
Filed under: uncultured bacterium
Lineage: Bacteria
Description: bacterial SSU rRNA
Rfam family: Bacterial small subunit ribosomal RNA
Source: RNAcentral
UGGGGAAUCUUGCACAAUGGGCGAAAGCCUGAUGCAGCAACGCCGCGUGCGGGAAGACAGCCCUAGGGUUGUAAACCGCUUUCAGCAGGGAAGAAACUGACGGUACCUGCAGAAGAAGAUGCGGCCAACUACGUGCCAGCAGCCGCGGUGACACGUAGGCAUCAAGCGUUAUCCGGAUUUAUUGGGCGUAAAGAGCUCGUAGGCGGUUCGGUAAGUCGGGUGUGAAAACUCUGGGCUCAACCCAGAGAGGCCACUCGAUACUGCUGUGACUAGAGUGCGGUAGGGGAGCGGGGAAUUCCUGGUGUAGCGGUGAAAUGCGCAGAUAUCAGGAGGAACACCAGUGGCGAAGGCGCCGCUCUGGGCCGUAACUGACGCUGAGGAGCGAAAGCAUGGGGAGCGAACAGGAUUAGAUACCCUGGUAGUCCACGCCGUAAACGGUGGGCGCUAGGUGUGGGGAUCGUUUCCACGAUCUCCGUGCCGUAGCUAACGCAUUAAGCGCCC